This 211-nucleotide ribosomal RNA is filed under the name Vairimorpha ceranae. RNAcentral's name for it is "Nosema ceranae partial small subunit ribosomal RNA". It matches the Rfam family "Microsporidia small subunit ribosomal RNA", at positions 104 to 316 of the family's 1311-position model. The record is from RNAcentral. Lineage: Eukaryota; Fungi; Microsporidia; Nosematidae.
UAUUUUAUGUAAAUUUUUAAUUAACUACGUUAAAGUGUAGAUAAGAUGUUUACAGUAAGAGUGAGACCUAUCAGCUAGUUGUUAAGGUAAUGGCUUAACAAGGCUGUGACGGGUAACGGUAUUACUUUGUAAUAUUCCGGAGAAGGAGCCUGAGAGACGGCUACUAAGUCUAAGGAUUGCAGCAGGGGCGAAACUUGACCUAUGGAUUUUA